UGGUCAAUGGGCGAGAGCCUGAACCAGCCAAGUCGCGUGAAGGAUGAAGGAUCUAUGGUUUGUAAACUUCUUUUAUAGGGGAAUAAAGUGUGGAACGUGUUCCAUUUUGUAUGUACCCUAUGAAUAAGCAUCGGCUAACUCCGUGCCAGCAGCCGCGGUAAUACGGAGGAUGCGAGCGUUAUCCGGAUUUAUUGGGUUUAAAGGGUGCGUAGGUGGUAAUUUAAGUCAGCGGUGAAAGUUUGUGGCUCAACCAUAAAAUUGCCGUUGAAACUGGGUUACUUGAGUGUGUUUGAGGUAGGCGGAAUGCGUGGUGUAGCGGUGAAAUGCAUAGAUAUCACGCAGAACUCCAAUUGCGAAGGCAGCUUACUAAACCAUAACUGACACUGAAGCACGAAAGCGUGGGUAUCAAACAGGAUUAGAUACCCUGGUAGUCCACGCAGUAAACGAUGAUUACUAGGAGUUUGCGAUACACAGUAAGCUCUACAGCGAAAGCGUUAAGUAAUCCACCUGGGGAGUACGCCGGCAACGGUGAAACUCAAAGGAAUUGACGGGGGCCCGCACAAGCGGAGGAACAUGUGGUUUAAUUCGAUGAUACGCGAGGAACCUUACCCGGGUUUGAACGUAGUCAGACCGGCCUUGAAAGAGGUCUUCUAGCAAUAGCUGAUUACGAGGUGCUGCAUGGUUGUCGUCAGCUCGUGCCGUGAGGUGUCGGCUUAAGUGCCAUAACGAGCGCAACCCUUAUCACUAGUUACUAACAGGUCAUGCUGAGGACUCUAGUGAGACUGCCAGCGUAAGCUGUGAGGAAGGUGGGGAUGACGUCAAAUCAGCACGGCCCUUACAUCCGGGGCGACACACGUGUUACAAUGGCAUGGACAAAGGGCAGCUACCUGGCGACAGGAUGCUAAUCUCUAAACCAUGUCUCAGUUCGGAUCGGAGUCUGCAACU
Molecule: ribosomal RNA, 945 nt
Filed under: human gut metagenome
Description: bacterial SSU rRNA
Rfam family: Bacterial small subunit ribosomal RNA
Source: RNAcentral